Molecule: ribosomal RNA, 456 nt
Filed under: uncultured bacterium
Lineage: Bacteria
Description: bacterial SSU rRNA
Rfam family: Bacterial small subunit ribosomal RNA
Source: RNAcentral
UACGGGAGGCAGCAGUGGGGAAUAUUGCACAAUGGGCGAAAGCCUGAUGCAGCUAUGCCGCGUGUAUGAAGAAGGCCUUAGGGUUGUAAAGUACUUUCAUCGGGGAGGAAAAAACAAAACUAAUAAUUUUAUUUCUUGACGUUACCCGAAAAAGAAGCACCGGCUAACUCCGUGCCAGCAGCCGCGGUAAUACGGAGGGUGCUAGCGUUAAUCAGAAUUACUGGGCGUAAAGAGCACGUAGGUGGUUUUUUAAGUCAGAUGUGAAAUCCCUGGGCUUAACCUAGGAACUGCAUUUUGAAACUGAAAUACUAGAGUAUCGUAGAGGGAGGUAGAAUUCUAGGUGUAGCGGUGAAAUGCGUAGAUAUCUGGAGGAAUACCUGUGGCGAAAGCGGCCUCCUAAACGAAUACUGACACUGAGGUGCGAAAGCGUGGGGAGCGAAACAGGGAUUAGAUACC